RNAcentral lists this ribosomal RNA (427 nucleotides) under uncultured bacterium. RNAcentral's name for it is "partial 16S ribosomal RNA". It matches the Rfam family "Bacterial small subunit ribosomal RNA", at positions 355 to 774 of the family's 1533-position model. The record is from RNAcentral.
UGGGGAAUAUUGGACAAUGGGCGAAAGCCUGAUCCAGCCAUGCCGCGUGUGUGAAGAAGGUCUUCGGAUUGUAAAGCACUUUAAGUUGGGAGGAAGGGCAUUAACCUAAUACGUUAGUGUUUUGACGUUACCGACAGAAUAAGCACCGGCUAACUCUGUGCCAGCAGCCGCGGUAAUACAGAGGGUGCAAGCGUUAAACGGAAUUACUGGGCGUAAAGCGCGCGUAGGUGGUUUGUUAAGUUGGAUGUGAAAGCCCCGGGCUCAACCUGGGAACUGCAUCCAAAACUGGCAAGCUAGAGUACGGUAGAGGGUGGUGGAAUUUCCUGUGUAGCGGUGAAAUGCGUAGAUAUAGGAAGGAACACCAGUGGCGAAGGCGACCACCUGGACUGAUACUGACACUGAGGUGCGAAAGCGUGGGGAGCAAACA